CGGAGAGUGGCGCAAUUGGCUAGCGCGCAUCGUUUGGGACGAUGAGGCUGCGGGUUCAAGUCCCGCCUCUCCGA
This 74-nucleotide transfer RNA is filed under the name Candidatus Gottesmanbacteria bacterium RIFCSPHIGHO2_01_FULL_46_14. RNAcentral describes it as "tRNA-Pro". It matches the Rfam family "tRNA". Rfam says of the family: Transfer RNA (tRNA) molecules are approximately 80 nucleotides in length. Their secondary structure includes four short double-helical elements and three loops (D, anti-codon, and T loops). The record is from RNAcentral. Lineage: Bacteria; Candidatus Gottesmaniibacteriota. RNAcentral also lists the same sequence under 1 other name.